This is a long non-coding RNA of Cavia porcellus (domestic guinea pig), 1467 nucleotides long. RefSeq lists it as uncharacterized. NCBI's taxonomy places the organism in Eukaryota, Metazoa, Chordata, Mammalia, Rodentia, Caviidae. The record is from RefSeq and is a predicted model, not a curated record. The transcript has 2 exons.
UGAUAAUUAUUACCAUGAUAACCUCUCAUUCUCUUAGCUUUAUUACUUAGGAGAGAUAAGGAGAUGGAUCUGAGCAUUUUUGGUGAAGUCUGUUCCCCUCCCUACUUGCAAUGGUACUGCAUCAGUGCACUCAGGAGAAAUGUUUUGAUGAAUUCUUCUUGAAGUCAUAACUGCUUUCAAAAGGAACUUGGAAUGAAGCAUUUCAAAUCCUGAAGGAAACAAUUUCCAACCCAGAUUGAUGCACCCUGCAAAACUAUCACAAUUAAUGGAGAAACAAGAUACUCCCACGACAAAGAAAAACAAAAGAAUUCAUGAUAACCAAUCCAAUCCUAGAAAGAGCACUGAAGAAUACUCUAGAGAGAGAUAAAGAUGACCACGGUUCUCCAGGAACAGCAGCAGAUGGGAAUUGCUAAACAAGGCAGGCAAUUGAACAAAAGGGAAAGGUGGUGGUUGGGGGGGGGGGAACAGCAGAAGACUAGCAUGGCAGACAAGCCAAUGUAUGGCCCGGUUGUAAUCAUUAAUGUAGAUGGAUGGCCUCGAUUCACCAAUAAAAAGAAGCACAGGAAGAGUGGAUCAAGAAACAAGAUCCAUCAAUAUGCGGUGUACAAAACCACAUUUAAUUCAAAAGGAAAUUCAUAGAGCGAAAGUCAAAGGCAGAAAACAGUGCUCCAUGUGACAGAAAACUAGAAAAACCAGGGAUAGCUUUCCCAUCACCCACAGAAUGUAUAAUAAAGAUGGGGCAUCUUUAUACAAUGGAAACCUACUCAACUAUAAAGAGGGAUAAUCUUGAAGCUCUUGUAGGUAAAUGGAUGCAACUUGAGAUCAUGCUCAAUGGUGAAAUAGUUUGGACUCACAUGGGUGAACAUCCUAUUGUGACUCUAGUAUGAAAAACAGAAGGAGUUAGUGAGAACCAAAAUGUUCAAUAGAUAUUGUGAAAAGAGAAGGGAAAGAAAUGGCUUAAAGUGAAGGAACAAUUGCAUUGAGGGAAAUGAGAAAAGAAAGAAUAGAAAAGAUUAUAUACAUAAAAAGGAAUAACUUGUGCUUUCAUUCAUUGAUCAUUUAUCAGGAAUAUAUCUUCUAAUCUUCUAAACAACUACUUUGAAGACAACAAUGAGCAGUGUAUUAACCAAUGUUAAUACCCUAUUAUUCUGUUUUGAAAUUCGGUAUCUUUGUCUCUAUCAUUUCAUCCUCUUCUUCCCCUUCUGCUCCUUCCCCUUCCCCUUCUCCUCCUUCUCCUCCUUCUUCUUCUUUUCAUUUUAAAAUUAAAAAAGAAAAGUAUAUGAAACAUCAAAUUAGCAUACAACAUGUCUUUGUACUUCUGGAUACAUAACGAAAAUUUCAAAGCAGAGAAUUAAAGUGAUAUUUAUACACUCACACAUAACAUUAUUCUCAAGAGCCAAAAUGUAUAAAUAAUCCAUGUACACCUUAAUGAGGAACUGAAUAAACCACAUUUAAUUAUACACCCUA